UUUUCACUUGGCAUGGUUCCACUCUCAGGGCAUUAACUUCCAACAUAGAUGUUAUUUGCUUUCAAAACCAUAAUUCUAGCCCUGACCUCUCCUAGGACUUGGAUGAAUAUAUCACAAAUUAUCAGAGGUCACCAAAAAAACUGUUUCUAUUCUUAGUUUAUAGCAUAAGUCAUGUAGGAUGAUUUCAGAAGUCUUUGAAAAAUUCAAGUAAUUUUGGUUUUAAUCUAGUUUUGUUUUAGUUUCACCAUAGCCAUUUCAUCCAACUCAUUUUCUGCAGUAUAUUUGCAUCAAUCUUGUAUGAGAGUCACAUUUAAGAUACUGAACAUUUGUCAAAAUUUUAAAACAUUUGCAAAAUAUUUGAUUAAUUCAGAGUUUUUAAAAAUUGUAAAUAUGUUUAAAAUGAGUUCUUUUACACU
Molecule: long non-coding RNA, 416 nt
Filed under: Bos taurus (domestic cattle)
Lineage: Eukaryota; Metazoa; Chordata; Mammalia; Artiodactyla; Bovidae
Description: long non-coding RNA NONBTAT023793
Source: RNAcentral